Bactrocera neohumeralis is the source of this 298-nucleotide long non-coding RNA. RefSeq lists it as uncharacterized. NCBI's taxonomy places the organism in Eukaryota, Metazoa, Arthropoda, Insecta, Diptera, Tephritidae. The record is from RefSeq and is a predicted model, not a curated record. The transcript is spliced from 3 exons.
CCGAGUAUUGAGAAGAAUAUAGCACCGACAAGAUUAAUGAAAAUUUCCAGACUUGGUAGUGCAAGACAAAAGCCACCACUAAUCAGUAUUAUAACAGAUGUCAUUGGGCACGUAGAACUGUAAGCCAUAAGUAAACUGUAUCGCCACAGCCAUCAGUAAUUUUGCAGUGUCAGCCAAACUAUAAUAUAUUUCACUAUAUCGACAAGUGCAUUACCAAUUUACCAAUAAUUGCUGCAAAUUUUUUUUCAGGUGCCACUUUAAAACCAAUCACUAGAGGCAAAUAAACUUAUCAUAUGUA